AGUGAACGCUGGCGGUAGGCCUAACACAUGCAAGUCGAACGGCAGCACAGAGGAGCUUGCUCCUUGGGUGGCGAGUGGCGGACGGGUGAGGAAUACAUCGGAAUCUACUCUGUCGUGGGGGAUAACGUAGGGAAACUUACGCUAAUACCGCAUACGACCUACGGGUGAAAGCAGGGGAUCUUCGGACCUUGUGCGAUUGAAUGAGCCGAUGUCGGAUUAGCUAGUUGGCGGGGGAAAGGCCCACCAAGGCGACGAUCCGUAGCUGGUCUGAGAGGAUGAGAAGGCACACUGGAACUGAGACACGGUCCAGACUCCUACGGGAGGCAGCAGUGGGGAAUAUUGGACAAUGGGCGCAAGCCUGAUCCAGCCAUACCGCGUGGGUGAAGAAGGCCUUCGGGUUGUAAAGCCCUUUUGUUGGGAAAGAAAUCCAUCUGGUUAAUACCCGGGUGGGAUGACGGUACCCAAAGAAUAAGCACCGGCUAACUUCGUGCCAGCCGCCGCGGUAA
RNAcentral lists this ribosomal RNA (506 nucleotides) under uncultured bacterium. Its description in RNAcentral is "partial 16S ribosomal RNA". It matches the Rfam family "Bacterial small subunit ribosomal RNA", at positions 29 to 523 of the family's 1533-position model. The record is from RNAcentral.